Molecule: ribosomal RNA, 508 nt
Filed under: uncultured bacterium
Lineage: Bacteria
Description: partial 16S ribosomal RNA
Rfam family: Bacterial small subunit ribosomal RNA
Source: RNAcentral
AUUGAACGCUGGCGGCAUGCCUUACACAUGCAAGUCGAACGGCAGCGGGGGAGAAGCUUGCUUUUCCUGCCGGCGAGUGGCGAACGGGUGAGUAAUACAUCGGAACGUGCCCUGUAGUGGGGGAUAACUAGCCGAAAGAUUAGCUAAUACCGCAUACGACCUGAGGGUGAAAGGGGGGGACCGCAAGGCCUCAUGCUAUAGGAGCGGCCGAUGUCGGAUUCGCUGGUUGGUGGGGUAAAGGCCUACCAAGGCGACGAUCAGUAGCUGGUCUGAGAGGACGAUCAGCCACACUGGGACUGAGACACGGCCCAGACUCCUACGGGAGGCAGCAGUGGGGAAUUUUGGACAAUGGGCGAAAGCCUGAUCCAGCAAUGCCGCGUGUGUGAAGAAGGCCUUCGGGUUGUAAAGCACUUUUGUCCGGAAAGAAAUGGCUCUGGUUAAUACCUGGGGUCGAUGACGGUACCGGAAGAAUAAGGACCGGCUAACUACGUGCCAGCCGCCGCGGUAA